RNAcentral lists this ribosomal RNA (520 nucleotides) under uncultured Glomeromycotina. Its description in RNAcentral is "SSU rRNA". It matches the Rfam family "Eukaryotic small subunit ribosomal RNA", at positions 569 to 1093 of the family's 1831-position model. Lineage: Eukaryota; Fungi; Glomeromycota. The record is from RNAcentral.
AGCAGCCGCGGUAAUUCCAGCUCCAAUAGCGUAUAUUAAAGUUGUUGCAGUUAAAAAGCUCGUAGUUGAAUUUCGGGGUUCUUCCGUUGGUCGGGCUAUCCAGUCUGUACUAGCGUGCAGAAUUCCUACCUUCUGGGGAACCAUCAUGUUAUUAAUUUAGCGUGGUGGGAAACCAGGACCUUUACCUUGAAAAAAUUAGAGUGUUCAGAGCAGGCUUACGUCUGAAUACAUUAGCAUGGAAUAAUAGAAUAGGACGGUGGUCCUGUUUUGUUGGUUUCUGAAUCACCGUAAUGAUUAAUAGGGAUAGUUGGGGGCAUUAGUAUUCAAUUGUCAGAGGUGAAAUUCUUGGAUUUAUUGAAGACUAACUUCUGCGAAAGCAUUUGCCAAGGAUGUUUUCAUUAAUCAAGAACGAAAGUUAGGGGAUCGAAGACGAUCAGAUACCGUCGUAGUCUUAACCAUAAACUAUGCCGACUAGGGAUCGGACGAUGUUAAAUUUAUUGACUCGUUCGGCGCCUUACGG